Molecule: ribosomal RNA, 253 nt
Filed under: uncultured bacterium
Lineage: Bacteria
Also listed under: 1 other name
Description: partial 16S ribosomal RNA
Rfam family: Bacterial small subunit ribosomal RNA
Source: RNAcentral
UACGAAGGGGACUAGCGUUGUUCGGAAUCACUGGGCGUAAAGCGCACGUAGGCGGAUUUGUAAGUCAGGGGUGAAAUCCCGGGGCUCAACCUCGGAACUGCCUUUGAUACUGCAAGUCUUGAGUCCGAUAGAGGUGGGUGGAAUUCCUAGUGUAGAGGUGAAAUUCGUAGAUAUUAGGAAGAACACCGGUGGCGAAGGCGGCCCACUGGAUCGGUACUGACGCUGAGGUGCGAAAGCGUGGGGAGCAAACAGG